GACGAACGCUGGCGGCAGUGCCUAAUACAUGCAAGUCGAACGCUUUGAUAUUCACCGGAGCUUGCUCCACCGAAAAUCAAAGAGUGGCGGACGGGUGAGUAACACGUGGGCAACCUGCCCAACAGAGGGGGAUAACACUUGGAAACAGGUGCUAAUACCGCAUAAUUUGUCUUUCCGCAUGGAAGAAUAAUAAAAGACGCUUCGGUGUCACUGUUGGAUGGGCCCGCGCUGCAUUAGUUAGUUGGUGGGGUAACGGCCUACCAAGACCAUGAUGCAUAGCCGACCUGAGAGGGUGAUCGGCCACACUGGGACUGAGACACGGCCCAGACUCCUACGGGAGGCAGCAGUAGGGAAUCUUCGGCAAUGGACGAAAGUCUGUUCGAGCAACGCCGCGUGAGUGAAGAAGGUUUUCGGAUCGUAAAACUCUGUUGUUAGAGAAGAACAAGUGAGAGAGUUACUGUUCUCACCUUGACGGUAUCUAACCAGAAAGCCACGGCUAACUACGUGCCAGCAGCCGCGGUAAUACGUAGGUGGCAAGCGUUGUCCGGAUUUAUUGGGCGUAAAGCGAGCGCAGGCGGUUUCUUAAGUUUGAUGUGAAAGCCCUCGGCUCAACCGAGGAAGGUCAUUGGAAACUGGGGAACUUGAGUGCAGAAGAGGAGAGGGGAAUUCCAUGUGUAGCGGUGAAAUGCGUAGAUAUAUGGAGGAACACCAGUGGCGAAGGCGACUCUCUGGUCUGUAACUGACGCUGAGGCUCGAAAGCGUGGGGAGCAAACAGG
RNAcentral lists this ribosomal RNA (776 nucleotides) under uncultured bacterium. Its description in RNAcentral is "bacterial SSU rRNA". It matches the Rfam family "Bacterial small subunit ribosomal RNA", at positions 28 to 776 of the family's 1533-position model. The record is from RNAcentral.